CCAGCAACAGCAACAGCAACAGUGGGCUCAGCAGCAGCCACAUCAGUAUCAACAACAAUGGAUGUCUAUGCAGUAUCCAGCUACUGCUAUGGCUAUGAUGCAACAGCAGAUGAUGAUGUAUCCUCAGCAUUAUAUGCCGUAUGUACAUCCUCAUCAUUAUCAGCAGCAGCCACCUCAUCAACAACAAGUGUCGCCGCCGCCAUCGGCGCAUAGUCAUCAUGGCGGCCAUCAACAGCAUCAGUAUCAGCAGCAUCAGCAGAAGCAGCUGGCACCUGAAGAGAUCAGGACGAUCUGGCUUGGUGACCUUCAUCAUUGGAUGGAUG
This 323-nucleotide long non-coding RNA is filed under the name Medicago truncatula (barrel medic). RNAcentral's name for it is "long non-coding RNA (MTRU_LNC002145)". Lineage: Eukaryota; Viridiplantae; Streptophyta; Magnoliopsida; Fabales; Fabaceae. The record is from RNAcentral.